This 4526-nucleotide long non-coding RNA is filed under the name Sus scrofa (pig). RNAcentral describes it as "lncRNA (ENSSSCG00060027393.1)". Lineage: Eukaryota; Metazoa; Chordata; Mammalia; Artiodactyla; Suidae. The record is from RNAcentral.
AGAGCGUGGAGGUGGCGCGGGCGCGGCGGUGGACCUGGGGGUCGUCACUCCUGCAGCUGGCAGCCGCCGCUGGGCGCUUCCUGUCGCAUCUCUCUUGUCCGGCGGGCGCCCAUCCCGCCCCGCCCCGGCCCGUGGACCUGCAAACCGAGGCUCAGAGCGGAUUUGCCCUAGGGGCUUUCACGAGCUUAGCAGAGGGGUUCCCGGCGGGGUUCCCUGGGGUCACGGGGCGCGAUGAGCAGCGAAGAAAGGAGGCGAGGAGCUGCGUCCGGGCUGGGUGCUCUCUGAACGCGAGGAGGCGGGAUGCGCUCGCCGGGGUCCAUGAUGUGCUCGGCGCCCGUCCCUGGGCCCGGGAAUUCGGCCGCUGGGGAACCCGGGCCAGCGAAUUCGCCCGCGAUCUCCGCGGAUCCCAGGACUGCCAGCGCUUUGGCCCUAGAUGGACGGUGGGGAAUGGGGUAGGGGGCUCCGGAACCCCUAACGUGGAUUACUUGGUGCAUAUCGCCCAGGCAUGGAAGACCCACCACCUCGUCUCCACCCAUGGAUUGAUGCCUUCUGCCGAACAGGUCGCUUACCUGGAGGUGGAACCAGAGAUUCGUGGCUGCUGUGAGUAGGUGCUUCUGACGGGGAAAGAAGGACAAGAUGAGAGGCCUGGAAGGAAGGACCGAUAAAGGGCUGUUCUUCCUCGCCCACGCUUCCCACCAGGAACUUCUGUGGAGCCAGAGUUUGCCGCCAGAACCCCCACAGGACCUGGGUGAAACAGGACCAUCUCUUAAGAGGCAAGAGCUCUUGAUUUGAUUGAGGAUUCUUAUUUUGGAGAACAAAGCAACUUCCAGAUUUGAGAAGACCUGCAGUUGAAGAAGACACCAUUGUCCCGGAUCCCUUGUUCUUCCUUCGCGUGGGAAAUGUUUCUUGGCGGGUGCCUGGUCUUAAGACUCCCCCACACCGGCCCCAGGGAAGCCAAGGACUUUCUGCCACACCCUUCCUCGCCCCCCACCUCCCACGUCCGCUGUGCCUUUGGACUCGGCAAUUCUUCUUGUUUGCUCCAUUAUCUUCCAGCCGGAUACAGAGUGAAUAGUUAACUACCCGCAGGUCAAUGGGGUCUUAAUUUUUGUUCCUGCUCCCUCUACAGAGGCCAGUGUCUGUGUGUUGCUAUGCAAGCGGCCUUGGAAUUGCAUCCCUUCUCAUUGAUUUGGGAUCUGGCCCCCGCAGGUUCCAGAGCAAUGCGGGUCCAGGCAGAAAUUCUUCAAGCUCUCAGGAUGUUGGAGGGGGCGCUGGCCGCGAGCUGGACCAUGAAGGCUGGCGUUCCCCACAUUCAGCUUUCUUGGGUUCGGAUCAUAAGCAGGUGUAGAUCUGGAGAAGCAGAAAAUGAACACAUUUUCUACUGACACCGAUGCACGGUCAGCGGUGAAGACCUUCUCCCAGCUAGCAUUUGGGUUCUGUGUCCAAACGCGGCGCUUCAUGGCAGAGUAUCCAGCCACCAGAGUUGGUGUGUCUUGAGGACCUGAAUUCUUGAGUGUGUGCUGGUGACACAGCCCUCUGACAGUCGAUGGGGCCUCACAAAACACAAGUCCUGCCUUUUCCUUUUCACUCUGUGGCCGUCAUACAUACGGCUAAAAACAUUUCCUAGAGAUCAGUCAUGGUUCAGUCGUGUCCAAAACGCAGAGCCAAAGAUGCAUUUUCUCUUUUCACAGCAAAUGAAUGACUUGCCUUCGGAAAAAGAAUGAAAGCCAGACAUUCUGCAUCUUUCCCGUGUUGUAGAUGAUGCAUUUGGAUGACCACUUUGUGACUUUGGUGUCUUAGAAGGGAAGCAGUGGGGUCCUUGGCAUCUCAGAUUCACCACAAAACAGACGAGGAGAACUUCUGGCGGAUGGUUUGUGCUUUUGAAAUGGGAGGCUUGUUUGUGGGCUUUUACCUUCCUUCCUUGACCUGCAGACACCUCAUUGCAUUAGAUUCCUUUGGGUUUUAAGAAGCAGAGACUUGCUGAUACUGCUCCGUACGUGCUGGUUUGUUUCGAGUUGCCAUGGACGUAAAGAAGAAAGGAAGCAGCCCGCCGAGGCGCUCUCCACCUAGGCCUGCCCAAGAAGCCCAAGUCGUUCCAGAUAGCCAGGGAUAGCAGAACCGAACCACCCUGGCCAUCUUGAUCUUCUGUUUGCACCAGCAUCCACUGUUCCCAGGAUCCUACCAUGGUGAUGAGCUGAGGGUGACUCAGUUGGCCCAGGACUGAGGAGUUUCCUGGGAUGCAGGACUUUUUAGUGCUAAACCUAGGACAGUCCUAAGCAAACUGGAACAACCAGUCACCCUACUGGGUGACUCGAGGACCCUGCCUCUCUUCUACUUUCCCUGCUGUGACUGGCUGAUGCUCUUGAUGGGUCUGGCCAGUCGCCAUUCAAAACUCUUGCGUCAGGCAACUUCAUUGGCCACUGGGCUACCUAUAGAUGGGUGCCCGUGGACCCAGCACCAACCCAUCUUGACCAGAUUUGUUGUUUCCAGGGUCAUAGGGUUGCAUAAUCUAGAAUAAAAGCCUGGCUGUAAACAACCAGCUGAGACCACUUCCUUCAGAAGACUGCUGUGCUUGGUUCCUUCCAGGUAAAAUGAGUGAGUCAGGCCACACGCUUCCCAAAGCCUCUGCCAGCGCUGCCAUCCACAGGGCUGCCAUAUUGGAUGCAGUUCAUGACAAAGGAUUUGCUACUUUUUGUUCUCUCUGGCUCUCCUCCUGCCUUCCCUUCAGCUUGCUCCAAGAUCAUGUGGACACACACCUCAGCAACCUCUGCCCCUCUGACCUCAUCCAAGUCACUGGCCUUGGGAGGCAGCCCAGGUGUUUCGAUUGGGCCAACUGCUGACAUUCCCUGCUGGUGACAACUUCUCCUCGAAGGCCUUCUCCAGCGUGUUUCCAGCUGUCCGUCUUCGUGGUUAUCCAGACUUGUAGGUGACGUAGAAGAGAGAAGGAGAAAUGAACACUGAAAAGAAAAUAGAACUUUGCAUUGCCGUCACCAAGGAAGAAGGCUGAUGGCUGAAGAUGCUUCCAGGCACCCGGAAUUUCAACCCUGAUGCUGCCGUGACCCCUCUGGGGUGAUGGCUGCUCCGUUGCUUUAGGGGUGAAAUUCACUGGGAUGUGACUGUGUGCUCCUGAGGAUGUUGUUAGGCCCAUCACACGAGCCAGGCCAGUCCCCUAAAGGGGGCGUUCGUUUAUUUCAGAGUUGCAGGACGUCUGGGCCAGUGGGGCUGGGAAACAGCACCUGGGUGGGUGGCUCAGAUGGGGAAUCUUUGUUCAGGCUCCGAGAGCAGAAAAUCACUAGAGGGACGUGUCGUAAGUGCUCUGACCCCUUCCCCGGGGAGUGUGGACCCUGGGAGCUGUCUCCUAAGCUGGCCUGAGCUCCUUGAGCCUCUGAGACCAGGUGUGGCCUGAGACACGGCUGGGAGCCGGGGAAUGAGUUAGCUGUGCAGGUUCAGAAAAGUAAGCCAUGUGAUCUGCAGGUUGGCUCAGCAUCCUGCAUUUUGUUUGCUUUUCUUUUCUCAGUCUCUCCAUCUCUCCAUCUCUGGGGGAUUUUGUUUGUUUGUUCUUGUUUUUGUCUUUUGUCUUCUUAGGGACACGCCCGAGGCAUAUGGACGUUCCUAGGCUAGGGUUCAAAUCAGAGCUGCAGCUGCCGACCUAGGCCACGGCCACAGCAACACCCGAUCUGAGCCGCCAUCUGAGCCACCUUACACCACAGGGAUCAAACCCAUGUCCUCAUGGAUACUAGUUGGGUUCAUUACCCCGGAGCCACAAUGGAACUCCCUCUGGGGAGAAGGGCAGGGAGAGAGGGCAGUUCUGCUGGGUCAGCCCCCGCCCCGCCAACCUGGAGAGCUGGCUUCCAGUUUUAAAGCCUUGGGGAGCUUGUGUUUUGUUUAAAUAAGGGAAGCUGUUUCCCUUACAUCCUUUCAAAAAUAAAUAAAUAGAAGUCUGUCAUAUCAUCUUACAGGUGCUGCUACCAACAAACAAAGGUUCAGAAAUGUGAAUAUUUUUUACAAAAGCAAAAGAUAAGAAGUGGAGUUCCCAUCAUGGCUCAGUGGUAAUGAACCGGACUAGUGCCUGUGAGGACGUGGGUUCGAUCCCUGGCCUCACUCAGUGGGUUAAGGAUCUGGCGUUGCCGUGAGCUGUGGUGCAGGUCACAGAGGCCGAUCAGAUCCCACGUUUCUGUGGCUGUGGUAUAGGCCGGCAGCUACAGCUCCACUUCGACCCCACUGUGUUGUGGCCCUAAGAAAAAAGACAACAAGGAAGUUCCCGCUGUGGCGCAAUGGCUAACGAAUCCGACUAGGAACCAUGAGGUUGCGGGUUCGGUCCCUGCCCCUGCUCAGUGGGUUAACGAUCCGGCAUUGCCGUGAGCUGUGGUGUAGGUUGCAGACGCCGCUAGGAUCCUGCGUUGCUGUGGCUCUGGCGUAGGCCGGUGGCUGCAGCUCCGAUUCGACCCCUAGCCUGGGAACUUCCAUAUGCCUCGGGAGCGGCCCAAGAAAUAGCAAAAAGACAAAAAAAAAAAAAAAAAAAAAAAAAA